UUAAGUUAAUAAGGGCGCACGGUGGAUGCCUUGGCACUAGAAGCCGAUGAAGGACGUGACUAACGACGAAAUGCUUUGGGGAGCUGUAAGUGAGCAAUGAUCCAGAGAUGUCCGAAUGGGGGAACCCGGCAGGUAAUGCCUGUCACUCAUUACUGUUAAGGUAAUGUAGAGGAAGACGCAGUGAACUGAAACAUCUAAGUAGCUGUAGGAAGAGAAAGCAAAAGCGAUUGCCUUAGUAGCGGCGAGCGAAACGGCAAGAGGGCAAACCGAAGAGUUUACUCUUCGGGGUUGUAGGACUGCAACGUGGACUUAAAGAUUAUAGAAGAACUACCUGGGAAGGUAGGCCAAAGAGAGUAAUAGCCUCGUAUUCGAAAUAGUCUUUAUACCUAGCAGUAUCCUGAGUACGGCGAGACACGAGAAAUCUCGUCGGAAUCUGGGAGGACCAUCUCCCAACCCUAAAUACUCUCUAGUGACCGAUAGUGAACCAGUACCGUGAGGGAAAGGUGAAAAGCACCCCGGGAGGGGAGUGAAAUAGAACCUGAAACCGUGUGCCUACAACAAGUUCGAGCCCGUUAAUGGGUGAGAGCGUGCCUUUUGUAGAAUGAACCGGCGAGUUACGAUAUGAUGCGAGGUUAAGUUGAAGAGACGGAGCCGUAGGGAAACCGAGUCUUAAUAGGGCGCAUUAGUAUCAUGUCGUAGACCCGAAACCAUGUGACCUACCCAUGAGCAGGUUGAAGGUGAGGUAAAACUCACUGGAGGACCGAACCAGGGCACGUUGAAAAGUGCUUGGAUGACUUGUGGGUAGCGGAGAAAUUCCAAACGAACUUGGAGAUAGCUGGUUCUCUCCGAAAUAGCUUUAGGGCUAGCGUCGAUGUUAAGUCUCUUGGAGGUAGAGCACUGUUUGGGUGAGGGGUCCAUCCCGGAUUACCAAUCUCAGAUAAACUCCGAAUGCCAAUGAGAUAUAAUCGGCAGUCAGACUGCGAGUGCUAAGAUCCGUAGUCGAAAGGGAAACAGCCCAGACCACCAGCUAAGGUCCCAAAAUAUAUGUUAAGUGGAAAAGGAUGUGGGGUUGCACAGACAACUAGGAUGUUAGCUUAGAAGCAGCUAUUCAUUCAAAGAGUGCGUAAUAGCUCACUAGUCGAGUGACCCUGCGCCGAAAAUGUACCGGGGCUAAAACAUAUUACCGAAGCUGUGGAUACCUUUAUAGGUAUGGUAGGAGAGCGUUCUAUGUGCGAAGAAGGUGUACCGUGAGGAGUGCUGGAGCGCAUAGAAGUGAGAAUGCCGGUAUGAGUAGCGAAAGACAGGUGAGAAUCCUGUCCACCGUAAGACUAAGGUUUCCAGGGGAAGGCUCGUCCGCCCUGGGUUAGUCGGGACCUAAGGAGAGACCGAAAGGUGUAUCCGAUGGACAACAGGUUGAUAUUCCUGUACUAGAGUAUAUAGUGAUGGAGGGACGCAGUAGGCUAACUAAACCAGACGAUUGGAAGUGUCUGGCCAAGCAGUGAGGUGUGAUAUGAGUCAAAUGCUUAUAUCUUUAACAUUGAGCUGUGAUGGGGAGCGAAGUUUAGUAGCGAAGUUAGUGAUGUCACACUGCCGAGAAAAGCUUCUAGCGUUAAUUAUACUCUACCCGUACCGCAAACCGACACAGGUAGUCGAGGCGAGUAGCCUCAGGUGAGCGAGAGAACUCUCGUUAAGGAACUCGGCAAAAUGGCCCCGUAACUUCGGGAGAAGGGGCGCUGACUGAUGGUCAGCCGCAGUGAAUAGGCCCAAGCAACUGUUUAUCAAAAACACAGCUCUCUGCUAAAUCGUAAGAUGAUGUAUAGGGGGUGACGCCUGCCCGGUGCUGGAAGGUUAAGAGGAGUGCUUAGCGUAAGCGAAGGCAUGAAUUGAAGCCCCAGUAAACGGCGGCCGUAACUAUAACGGUCCUAAGGUAGCGAAAUUCCUUGUCGGGUAAGUUCCGACCCGCACGAAAGGCGUAAUGAUUUGGGCACUGUCUCAACGAGAGACUCGGUGAAAUUUUAGUACCUGUGAAGAUGCAGGUUACCCGCGACAGGACGGAAAGACCCCAUGGAGCUUUACUGCAGUUUGAUAUUGAGUAUCUGUACCACAUGUACAGGAUAGGUAGGAGCCUAUGAAAUCGGGACGCUAGUUUCGGUGGAGGCGUUGUUGGGAUACUACCCUUGUGUUAUGGCUACUCUAACCUAGAUAGGUUAUCCCUAUCGGAGA
RNAcentral lists this ribosomal RNA (2223 nucleotides) under metagenome. Its description in RNAcentral is "bacterial LSU rRNA". It matches the Rfam family "Bacterial large subunit ribosomal RNA", at positions 3 to 2251 of the family's 2925-position model. The record is from RNAcentral.